RNAcentral lists this ribosomal RNA (1389 nucleotides) under Triticum aestivum (bread wheat). Its description in RNAcentral is "partial small subunit ribosomal RNA". Lineage: Eukaryota; Viridiplantae; Streptophyta; Magnoliopsida; Poales; Poaceae. The record is from RNAcentral.
AUGGGCGAUGUCCGGAUCAUGUCCAGGCGCAUGGUCCGCCCGAAAUCAAGCACCUUCCGGCCGCCGGAGCGUCAGCCGGAGACCAUCCACCUGACGCCGUGGGAUCUCCGGAUGUUGAUCGUGGACUACAACCAGAAGGGCGUCCUCCUGCCCAAGCCCCCCGCAGCCGCCGCCCAAGGAGUCGUGGACCGCCUCGCCUCGUCCUUGGCGCGCGCCCUGGGCCGCUUCUUCCCCCUCGCCGGCCGCCUCGCUGUCAACGACCACGGGGGCAGCGCCGGCCAAACCAUCUCGCUCCGCUGCAGCAACGAAGGCGCCGAGUUCGUCCACGCCGUGGCGCCUGGUGUCACCGUCGCGGACGUCACCGCCCCGCUAUGCGUCCCGAGGGUGGUCUGGUCCUUCUUCCCGCUCAACGGGGUGGUUGGCGCGGACGCCGCCGCGGGCUCCCGCCCGGUCCUGGCAGCGCAGGUCACCGAGCUCGACGACGGCGUCUUUGUUGCCAUGUCGGUCAACCACGGGGUGGCCGACGGGACAACCUUCUGGCACUUGUUCAACACUUGGUCGGAGAUCAGCCGGCGUAGUGUCAACGGCGACCGCGAAUGCGAGAUCUCCUCGCCGUUGCCGGUUUUCGACAGGUGCGUCGUCCCCAUCACUGUACCAUUUGGCAAGCUGGAGGACAUCGUGGGGCAGCGUCGCCGUGGUUAUGGCCAGCGGCCACCGGUGCAGGAAUGCUUCGUGCGUUUCUCCGGGGAGAGCGUGAGGAAUCUCGUGUCAAAGGCGAACGCGGAGAUGUCCGGCUCCGGCUCCGGCACCACCAUCUCCUCGCUGCAGGCCGUGCUCGCGCACCUGUGGCGCGCGGUGUGCCGCGCCUGGAGGCUGGCGCCUGAGGAGGAGACGCGGUACGUCCUCCAGGUCGGAUGCCGGGGCCGCGUGGACGGCGUCCCGGCGACCUACUCUGGCAAUGCGGCAGCGCUCGCCGCGUCCGAUUCAACCGCCGGCGAGAUCCUGGAGAAAGGGCUGGGCCGGGCGGCGUGGCUGCUGAACCGGGCCGUGGCGUCGUUCGACGGGGCGCGUGAGAGGGCGGAACUCGAGAAGUGGGCCCGGGAGCCAAGCUUCGCGAUGCCGCCGGAGUUCGUGCUGGGCGCCGGCGCUCGCCGGCUGCUGCUCACGGGGAGCUCGCCGCGGUUCGACGUGUUCGGCAACGACUUCGGGUGGGGCGCGCCGGUGGCGGUGCGGAGCGGCGCGGGGAACAAGAUGGGAGGGAAGGUGACGGUGUACGAGGGCGGGCGCGGAUGCGGCGCGGGGAGCAUUGCGCUGGAGGUGUGCCUCGCCCCGGAGGCGCUCGCCAGGCUCGUCGCCGACCAGGAGUUCAUGAGCGCCACCGUGCCGUGA